RNAcentral lists this ribosomal RNA (660 nucleotides) under Miriquidica garovaglioi. RNAcentral describes it as "eukaryotic LSU rRNA". It matches the Rfam family "Eukaryotic large subunit ribosomal RNA", at positions 188 to 866 of the family's 3401-position model. Lineage: Eukaryota; Fungi; Ascomycota; Lecanoromycetes; Lecanorales; Lecanoraceae. The record is from RNAcentral.
CAUUGUCACGCAGCGUCAGAGAAGGUGAGAAUCUCGUGUGUGAUCAGUGACCAACCCUAUGUGACACCCCAUCGACGAGUCGAGUUGUUUGGAAAUGCAGCUCAUAAUGGGUGGUAAAUUUCAUCUAAAGCUAAAUAUCCGCCAGAGACCGAUAGCGCACAAGUAGAGUGAUCGAAAGAUGAAAAGCACUUUGGAAAGAGAGUCAAAAAGUACGUGAAAUUGUUGAAAGGGAAGCGCUUGCAACCAGACCUGUCCGUCGGCGAUCAACCUCCGUUCUCGGGGGUGCACUCGUCAGCGAUCAGGCCAGCAUCGGUUCGGGCGGUCGGAUAAAGGCCUUGGGAAUGUAGCUCCUCUUAGGGAAUCUUAUAGCCUUGGGUGCAAUGCGGCCAGCCCGGACCGAGGACCGCGUUUUGGCUAGGAUGCUGGCGUAAUGGCUGUAAGCGACCCGUCUUGAAACACGGACCAAGGAGUCUAAUAUCUAUGCAAGUGUUUGGGUAUCAAACCCGUACGCGUAAUGAAAGUGAACGGAGGUGAGAACCCUUAAGGGCGCAUCAUCGACCGAUCCAGAUGUCUUCGGAUGGAUUUGAGUACGAGCAUAGCUGUUGGGACCCGAAAGAUGGUGAACUAUGCCUGAAUAGGGUGAAGCCAGAGGAAACUCUG